RNAcentral lists this ribosomal RNA (890 nucleotides) under Staphylococcus sp. K2204. Its description in RNAcentral is "bacterial SSU rRNA". It matches the Rfam family "Bacterial small subunit ribosomal RNA", at positions 41 to 905 of the family's 1533-position model. The record is from RNAcentral. Lineage: Bacteria; Bacillati; Bacillota; Bacilli; Caryophanales; Staphylococcaceae.
GGGCUGCCCUAAUAAUGGCAAGUCGAGCGAAACAGAUGAGAAAGCUUGCUUCUCUGAUGUUAGCGGCGGACGGGUGAGUAACACGUGGGUAACCUACCUAUAAGACUGGGAUAACUCCGGGAAACCGGGGCUAAUACCGGAUAAUAUUUUGAACCGCAUGGUUCAAUAGUGAAAGACGGUUUCGGCUGUCACUUAUAGAUGGACCCGCGCCGUAUUAGCUAGUUGGUAAGGUAAUGGCUUACCAAGGCGACGAUACGUAGCCGACCUGAGAGGGUGAUCGGCCACACUGGAACUGAGACACGGUCCAGACUCCUACGGGAGGCAGCAGUAGGGAAUCUUCCGCAAUGGGCGAAAGCCUGACGGAGCAACGCCGCGUGAGUGAUGAAGGUCUUCGGAUCGUAAAACUCUGUUGUUAGGGAAGAACAAAUUUGUUAGUAACUGAACAAGUCUUGACGGUACCUAACCAGAAAGCCACGGCUAACUACGUGCCAGCAGCCGCGGUAAUACGUAGGUGGCAAGCGUUAUCCGGAAUUAUUGGGCGUAAAGCGCGCGUAGGCGGUUUCUUAAGUCUGAUGUGAAAGCCCACGGCUCAACCGUGGAGGGUCAUUGGAAACUGGGAAACUUGAGUGCAGAAGAGGAGAGUGGAAUUCCAUGUGUAGCGGUGAAAUGCGCAGAGAUAUGGAGGAACACCAGUGGCGAAGGCGGCUCUCUGGUCUGUAACUGACGCUGAUGUGCGAAAGCGUGGGGAUCAAACAGGAUUAGAUACCCUGGUAGUCCACGCCGUAAACGAUGAGUGCUAAGUGUUAGGGGGGUUUCCGCCCCUUAGUGCUGCAGCUAACGCAUUAAGCACUCCGGCCUGGGGGAGUACGACCGCAAGGUUGAAACUCAAA